AAGAGAGAAGAAAACGGAAUAAAAAAGCGCAGAGGAGCAAGUGGUUAGUAAAGUGGUUAUUUAUCUCUCCGAGACUUUUUUUUCGCGGUUUCUCCAAAUACGGGAGGGGGGCUAGUUUUUGCCGCCCCGUCGAUUCA
This is a non-coding RNA of Caenorhabditis elegans, 137 nucleotides long. The record is from Ensembl. Lineage: Eukaryota; Metazoa; Nematoda; Chromadorea; Rhabditida; Rhabditidae.